This is a long non-coding RNA of Dipodomys spectabilis (banner-tailed kangaroo rat), 622 nucleotides long. RefSeq lists it as uncharacterized. The transcript is spliced from 2 exons. The record is from RefSeq and is a predicted model, not a curated record. NCBI's taxonomy places the organism in Eukaryota, Metazoa, Chordata, Mammalia, Rodentia, Heteromyidae.
GCGCCCCGCGCGCCCCGGGACCCCCGGGCCUGCUCCGUGGGGCUCCCCGCCUCCACCGCUGCGGGGGGCUCCCAGCCCCAGGCGCCCAUGAAGGCCAGAGGAGGCUUCCAGCGGCCAGUCCUCCCGGCAGGGAGGCCGCGGCCUUGGCCCGAGGGCCCACAGCCACUGCAGGACCCUGAGUGAGGGGCAGCACCCCUAGCCAGCAGCGGCCGCGUCCCCACAGCGCGGGCCUGAGCGGGCCCAAGGAAGCCCCUCGCCACGCUGGCCUUGAGCGGUGGCCACCACCGGAGCGUGGACGGCGGAGGAGACCCCCCUCCCCGUCCCCUGGUCCCCAGUCAACAUGCUCCCGGAAUCCCGGCCGCAGACACUGCGCUCCUACCUGCUCCCUUUAGCAAACUCCUAUUCAUCUUUCAAAGCCCUAGUUUCCCUGUCCCUUGCGUACACCCUUCCCAGAUCCUCCAAGGAGAGCUUCCAUUUUGCUCUGGACUCCUCCUUCCUGGCCCCUUCAACCCUGACACCUGCAGCGGGGUGUCCCCUCCAGUCUGCCACGUGUCUGAACCCCAGGGCCAAAGACCUUGUGCGUGAAUAAAACACGAACUGGUUUCGAGCGCCAGCUCCGUGA